Molecule: long non-coding RNA, 1539 nt
Organism: Oncorhynchus mykiss (rainbow trout)
Lineage: Eukaryota; Metazoa; Chordata; Actinopteri; Salmoniformes; Salmonidae
Source: RefSeq, a predicted model, not a curated record
AGACCAGACCUGGAAAAUGAACCCAUAUUGACUGCAGACCUAUGGCUGUACACUGACGGGUGUUGUUACAGAGGAGAAGAAGGCAACAUAGCAGCAUACGCAGUAGUACAACAGACUGUGGAUGGAGCUCACACCACCCUGGAAUCAGGUAUAAUACCUCAGCCCGCAUCAGCCCAAUUGGCAGAGAUAAUUGGACUCACCCAAGCAUUAACACUGGCCAAAGGGAAAAAGGUCAACAUAUACACUGACUCAGCGUAUGCUCAUGGAGCAGUACACAUCGAUGGACCACAAUGGGUCAGACGAAACUUUACCACUACUGGAAAUCUACCAAUCAAGCACAAGACCCAGAUGGAGCGUCUGAUUGCUGCUGUAUCACUUCCUGAAAAAGUGGCCAUAAUGAAAUGCAAGGGCCAUCAGAUAUUGAACUCCAAGAUCAGCAAGGGAAAUGAUGCUGCAGACCAGGCAGCUAAGAAAGCAGGAGGAUACACUCCCAGACAAAUGGUUCUCCAAAUCAGUCCACCUAGGACUGAAUUGACUAACCAACACAUCAAAGAACUACAACAAGCAGCCGGACCAUAUGAACACUCAGUGUGGGGACAGAGGGGAGCGACGAAAGGUCCUGAUGAACUGUGGCGAUGCCAUGAUGGCAGACUAGUGGCCCCUGCAAACCUCUGUCCUGAACUAAUCAGAGAAGCACAUGGACCAACACACGAAGGGAAACUGAAGACUCUACAGAGAGUCUCCUACGUAUGGUGGCAUCCAUACAUGAAAGAAAUGACAGAUUUGUUCUGUGACAGUUGUGCCAUCUGUGGAAGUCACAAUCCAAAGAAACCUUACCAAACACCAAUGGGUCACUAUCCGGUACCCAAUGCCUGUUUCCAAGACAUCAGCAUAGAUUUUACAGACAUGGGAGCGGAUCAGGUGAAGGGAGGAAAGAGAUAUUUGCUAGUAAUGGUAGACAGAUUCUCUAAGUGGGUAGAGGCCAUUCCUACAGCAAAGGAGGAUGCGAAGUCAGUCAUUAAGUGGCUACAAACGGAACUUAUACCUAGGUAUGGGGUUCCUCGACAAAUCAGGUCCGACAAUGGGUCCCACUUCUCAAAUCAGCACCUUAGACAGGUGGAGGAGAGGUUUGGCAUUACACACAAGUUUGGCUCAGUGUAUAAGCCGCAGUCGCAGGGCCUUGUGGAACGCUGUAAUCAAAAUCUGAAAGCUAAGAUAGCUAAAGUGUGUGCAGGGACACAUCUUUCACCCCAUGAAAUAAUGACAGGUAGAGUAAUGCCAGGGCCACCAAGAGAGGGAGGUCAUAUGCCCCCUCUUGAUGUGCACCAAAUAGGGAUGUCUGACUAUGUGAAGAAAUUGACGGAAUUGUCUGCAGCUCUCUCCAAACAGAUACACCGUGUCGCAGAGAGGGAGCUGACUGACGUCCCGGAACAACCAAGGGUAAAAGUUGGGGACUGGGUAAGGAUCAAGGUCCACAAGAGAAAGUGGGCUGAUCCCAGGUGGACUGGACCGUACGAAGUGAAGGAGGUUACUUCACAC